GAUGAACGCUAGCGGCAGGCUUAACACAUGCAAGUCGAGGGGUAUAGGUUUUCGGACCUAGAGACCGGCGCACGGGUGCGUAACGCGUAUGCAAUCUACCUUUUGCAGAGGGAUAGCCCAGAGAAAUUUGGAUUAAUACCUCAUAGUAUAACACAAUCGCAUGAUUGAGUUAUUAAAGUUCCAACGGUAAAAGAUGAGCAUGCGUCCUAUUAGCUAGAUGGUAAGGAACGGCUUACCAUGGCUACGAUAGGUAGGGGUCCUGAGAGGGAGAUCCCCCACACUGGUACUGAGACACGGACCAGACUCCUACGGGAGGCAGCAGUGAGGAAUAUUGGACAAUGGGCGCAAGCCUGAUCCAGCCAUGCCGCGUGCAGGAAGACGCAUCUAUGGUGUGUAAACUGCUUUUGUACGGGAAGAAACACUCCCGCGUGAGGGAGCUUGACGGUACCGUAAGAAUAAGGAUCGGCUAACUCCGUGCCAGCAGCCGCGGUAA
Molecule: ribosomal RNA, 493 nt
Filed under: uncultured bacterium
Lineage: Bacteria
Description: partial 16S ribosomal RNA
Rfam family: Bacterial small subunit ribosomal RNA
Source: RNAcentral